RNA transcript from Rhinichthys klamathensis goyatoka, 3097 nucleotides. It is a transcript of the gene named DET1 partner of COP1 E3 ubiquitin ligase, with no coding region annotated. NCBI's taxonomy places the organism in Eukaryota, Metazoa, Chordata, Actinopteri, Cypriniformes, Leuciscidae. The record is from RefSeq and is a predicted model, not a curated record. The transcript has 8 exons.
UUAUGCGCAGACCUCGCCGAUGCCACUUACUUCCGCCGGUUAGACAGCGAACAGAUCUCUAAACUUACACUCCUGAAGAAACUUUUAUACCGCAUUGCACCUCCCUUUCAAACGUUUUUUCUCUUAUGUUUUAUUUUAUGCGGGUAUAGGUUGUCUUUUGUGUAUGCUUGUACUCCCAGAUAGUUAAAGCUGCACAGAUAUGAACAUGAGAAGUGUUUAAAUGAACGUCCAGUGGUAACGCUGUUAUUAUGGCUGCUCACCGCAACACUACAUUGGAGGAUGGUUUCCCCACUCUGAAGCCGAGACGCAUCCAGAACCAGAAUGUGGUCUACAGGCUAGAGAGGCGUCGGAUCUGCUCCGGUCCACUCGGGGCUCAUUGGUACCGUGUGCGCUGUUUCCACCAGAACCUGUUCCCCAACUUCACAGUGGUGAACGUAGAGAAGCCACCCUGCUUCCUGCGCAAGUUCUCCCCUGACGGACGAUGCUUUAUUGCAUUCUCCUCUGAUCAAACUUCCUUGGAAAUCUACGAGUACCAGGGAUGCCAAGCCGCUGAAGAUCUUCUCCAGGGUCAGGAGGGAGAAACGUUGGCCAAUGGGAACGACCAGCGCUCCCUCAACAUCAGAGGCAGACUCUUCGAACGCUUCUUCUCCCUGCUCCACGUCACCAACGUGGCCUCCAACGGUGAGCACUUGAAUAGAGAGUGCAGUCUUUUCACUGACGACUGCCGCUAUGUGAUCGUCGGCUCUGCUGCCUACUUGCCAGAAGAACCUCAUCCGCACUUUUUCGAGGUGUACAGAAACAACGAAUCUGUGACACCAAACCCACGCUCACCUCUUGAAGACUACUCUCUGCACAUCAUAGACCUGCACACGGGCCGACUGUGUGAUACACGCACCUUUAAGUGUGACAAAAUCAUCCUGUCACACAAUCAAGGACUGUACCUGUACAGAAAUAUAUUGGCUGUGCUUUCUGUGCAGCAACAGACCAUUCAUGUUUUCCAGGUGACACCAGAAGGAACCUUCCUUGACGUGCGCACCAUCGGCCGUUUUUGUUACGAGGAUGACCUGCUGACGCUGUCUGCGGUUUACUCCGAGGCCCAGGCUGAAGGCCAGCCCGGUUUCUCCCGCCUUUAUAAGGAGAAAACCAUAAACUCUUUGAAGCACCGUCUCCUGGUGUACCUGUGGAGGAGGGCAGAGCAGGACGGCAGUGCCACGGCCAAGCGGCGGUUCUUUCAAUUCUUCGAUCAGCUCAGGCAGCUGCGCAUGUGGAAGAUGCAGCUCCUGGACGAACAUCACCUGUUCAUCAAGUACACCAGCGAAGAUGUAGUCACACUGAGGGUCACCGACCCCUCGCAGCCCUCUUUCUUCGUGGUUUACAAUAUGCUAACCACCGAGGUUAUUGCAGUUUUCGAGAACACUUCUGACAAACUUCUGGAGCUUUUUGAAAACUUCUGCGACCUCUUCCGUAACGCCACACUCCACAGCGAGGCUGUGCAGUUCCCCUGCUCUGCUUCCAGCAACAACUUUGCCCGGCAGGUACAACGCAGGUUCAAAGACACCAUCGUGAAUGCCAAAUACGGAGGGCACACAGAAGCGGUCAGAAGGCUUCUCGGUCAGCUGCCCAUCAGUGCUCAGUCCUACAGCAGUAGCCCGUAUCUGGAUCUUUCCCUCUUCAGCUACGAUGACAAGUGGGUGUCUGUCAUGGAGCGGCCAAAGACCUGUGGCGAUCAUCCCAUACGGUUCUAUGCGAGGGACUCUGGAUUGCUGAAAUUUAAGAUCCAGGCAGGCCUGCUGGGCAGACCCAUUAACCACGCUGUCAGGAGACUGGUCGCGUUCACCUUCCAUCCCUUCGAGCCCUUUGCCAUCUCUGUGCAGCGCACCAACGCCGAAUACGUUGUCAACUUUCACAUGCGCCACGGAUGCGUAUGAUAUUGCAUGUGGAAACCUUCUCCAGAGGACGAGAUCUGGGAGUUUAUCCUCAAACGCAGAAUAACACCACGCUGUGUCAGGAGUCGGGUCUGAAACAUUGUCAUGAAUCAGAGGGGACGGAGAUGUUGUCCAACCUAUGGAAGGAAAACAGAGAGGGAGAAAAUGAAAGAGAAACAGAGGGCAUCGUGCUUCUCACAAGCUGACAAUUCCACCGACUCUGUCAGACAGCAGUUGACUGCUACUCUGCUAUUCCUGUUCGAGGGAUGAACCCACUCUGCCUUGUUGGCACAGAUAUUUUUAGCCUUGGCGUUUGGCAGAGAGACCAGCACUAAGAGUGAUGGGGCCACACAGGCCUCCAACGGCAAAAGGGCAGCAGUGGGAAGAAGAGGGCGGAGGCGGGCAAGGUCACAUGGGCCACCGGAGACGAGAGAGUGGAGAAUGAGGUGAUGAGAUCUGGUGAUUGAGUCUUGUGAAAUCUGUCUUUGACAGACUGCUUCUUAUACCUGUGAAAGGUAUGGGAUUUUCUUAAAUUUUCAAUUAUGUAGGCAAAAUCACAACUAAAAUGAUCGGAAAUGCAGAAUUUGUAUUUUACUUCUCUGUUUCACUGUUUUCUUAGUACAAUGUUUUUCUCAUCUUUAACAUCUGUUUGCUAUCACAGGACUGCCAAAACAGCCUAAACCCUUCACAGUGUAUUGCCUCAUCUUUUUUUUUUUUUUUGCAGACUCUGUAUGCCCGGAUUGUAUAAUGGCUCCUCCUCAGUUACUGAUAGACUUCUUUUCCUGCCUUUUAGCUCUCUUCCCAGCAGGUCUCUUUCUUAGAUCCAGCUGUGUGUGUGCCGCACUCUGCGGAAAGCACUAACAUAUUCCCUUUGUUAGCCGUACUGUACCUCCACAAUUUGUCUCCGCAUGGAUGACCUUGACUGCUCCAAUCUUAAAAUAGACCCUGCACACAGGUGUUUUUUUAUCACUUCCUCAAGACUUUAUUAUCACAUGCAGGUUUUCUUUCUAUAAAUGGAAGAUCUGAAUCUUACGCUAUCAACCGUCUCCUGCCAAGUCAAAGCAAUCUGUCGUUUGGCAUCCGGUUCUGCAGACUACUUGUUGCUAUGUGAACGUUUUAAGGCUUUAUGUUUUGGAAAGUCACAUUUCUGGAAUAAAUUUUCUGAUCACCUA